Molecule: long non-coding RNA, 436 nt
Organism: Magnolia sinica
Lineage: Eukaryota; Viridiplantae; Streptophyta; Magnoliopsida; Magnoliales; Magnoliaceae
Exons: 2
Source: RefSeq, a predicted model, not a curated record
CAAUGAUGUUAGGUUUUGUUGUACUUUAUGCUACUUCUUUGUACUCCAUAUGCAAUGAUGUCUAUUUUUUUUUUCUCUUUCUUUUAAGGAAUGUUCAGAAUUAAGUUUUGAAUUAAGGGCCACAAAAGUUUUGAAUUAAGCUUACAUUUUUUUACCUUCAUCCACACAAAAUCAGUACAGUUGUUUCUCCAUCUAUUUACAUCAAUUUGGAUAUCAAUCAAGUGUGCUAAUUUUUGGUUGUAUGUGUUUUUUAAGGAUUGCUUAGAACAGACCAUAUUCCUACAAUUGUUAGGAAAAUGGACAUUCCAUAUUUCUUGUAUGAAAUGGGAUUAAUUCUCCUACUGGUUGGAUGAGCUGGUGAAGAAUGCGUAGCGUGUCCAAUUGGAGUUCACUGGUGCCCAUUUAGUGGACAGACAUGAUUUCCAUCAUCAUUUGA